Molecule: long non-coding RNA, 1212 nt
Filed under: Rhinolophus ferrumequinum (greater horseshoe bat)
Lineage: Eukaryota; Metazoa; Chordata; Mammalia; Chiroptera; Rhinolophidae
Description: lncRNA (ENSRFEG00010011534.1)
Source: RNAcentral
AUUCGGGAGAGAGGAGCGAGAGCGCGAAGCCCCGCGGACGCCCGGCCGGUGCCGGCGCUGCGGAGGGAAGACGAGCCCCGCAGACCUGCCAAGUCUCGCCCAUCUGGGGCUGCUGGAUCGCAACUUCGCCCCGGAGAGCGGGGUGGUGGUGGUGAGGGGAUGGAGGGAGGGCUGCUUGUUUUUUCAAACGACAUUUCAGGCGCUCACCCAGUCCUUUCCAUGGCCCCAAGCCGCAACUUACUCGAGUGGAAGGAAGCAAGGCCUCGCCAAAGAUGGUUGAGAAAGACCGUGAGCCUCUCUACCCAGGAUCUUGAAGCCAAGGCCUACAUGCUGGAAAGGCAGCCUUGCCCAAGGAAAGAGAAGGGUAGGGACCGAAGAAAGUGUUGUUUUAUGAACUCUAGAGCAUCACAGAAGAGCCAGAAAGUAUGGGGUUUGGGAGACCAGCAAAGAAUUCUUCAAGAACUAUGACAAGGCCUGUGGAGAACUGUGUAAGAUUUCCUACCCCUCUGUAACUUUUACAUCAUACUUGGGCUUCUUUGAAAGGAACUGAUGUUUGGACUUGUUUCCUACGCUCUAAGUCCAAGAGGAGGGGAAGAGAAAGAAGAGAAAGCUAGAAAAAUAUCUGAGAAAAGGAAAAGCAAUCAGGCUUAAUCCUUCCAGAUGGAGAAGAGAACACGCAGGAAAUGGAGACUCAGCUUCACCUGAGAACAGAUCUCAUUGUUUUCCGGUAGCAUAGAGACUUCCUGGGCACUAUGUGAAUUUUCAUCUUUGCAUCUGCCCCAACACCCCCACCAUCCACACCAGUUAGCACAAUGUCUUGCACAUCCCAUAGUUGAAAUUAACUUAUUUGUGAGUGAACUAAGGAAUGGAUAAUAAACCUACAGGCCCCUAAAAGUACGCAUGUCCAAAAAUAAACAGAAGAUCUUUUGGGGCUGGCCUGGUGGCUCAGGCGGUUGGAGCUCCAUGCUCCUAACUCCGAAGGCUGCCGGUUCGAUUCCCACAUGGGCCAGUGGGCUCUCAACCACAAGGAUGCUGGUUCAACUCCUGCAAUGGCAACUCGACCUGGAGCUGAGCUGUGCCCUCCACAACUAAGAUUGAAAGGAUAACAACUUGACUUGGAAAAAAGUCCUGGAAGUACACACUGUUCCCCAAUAAAGUCCUGUUCCCCUUCCCCAAUUAAAAAAAAAAAAAAAAAAGAUCUUUUGCACCGGA